UACAUGAAGCUGGAGUUACUAGUAAUCGCAGAUCAGAAUGCUGCGGUGAAUGCGUUCCCGGGUCUUGUAAACNCACCGCCCGUCACACCAUGGGAGUCGGAAAUGCCCGAAGUCUGUGACCCAACCUUAGGGAGGGAGCAGCCGAAGGCAGGUCGGAUGACUGGGGUGAAGUCGUAACAAGGUACC
RNAcentral lists this ribosomal RNA (186 nucleotides) under uncultured bacterium. Its description in RNAcentral is "partial 16S ribosomal RNA". It matches the Rfam family "Bacterial small subunit ribosomal RNA", at positions 1317 to 1500 of the family's 1533-position model. The record is from RNAcentral.